GCCGGAAUAGUUUAAUUGGUAAAACCGUUUCCUUGUAAGAUAUUAAUUUUGGUUCAAGUCCAAAUUUCGGCA
This 72-nucleotide transfer RNA is filed under the name Auricularia cornea. RNAcentral's name for it is "tRNA-Thr". It matches the Rfam family "tRNA". From Rfam's summary of the family: Transfer RNA (tRNA) molecules are approximately 80 nucleotides in length. Their secondary structure includes four short double-helical elements and three loops (D, anti-codon, and T loops). Further hydrogen bonds mediate the characteristic L-shaped molecular structure. tRNAs have two regions of fundamental functional importance: the anti-codon, which is responsible for specific mRNA codon recognition, and the 3' end, to which the tRNAs corresponding amino acid is attached (by aminoacyl-tRNA synthetases). tRNAs cope with the degeneracy of the genetic code in two manners: having more than one tRNA (with a specific anti-codon) for a particular amino acid; and 'wobble' base-pairing, i.e. permitting non-standard base-pairing at the 3rd anti-codon position. Lineage: Eukaryota; Fungi; Basidiomycota; Agaricomycetes; Auriculariales; Auriculariaceae. The record is from RNAcentral. RNAcentral also lists the same sequence under 1 other name.